AAAGGGGACACUAGUCCCCAGAACCACUUCAGCUUAAUGAAGUGGUUCCGGUGUCUAUAGCCUGUCCCUGCAGGCUUUUUAAUGUAAACACACACUGUAUGCAGCACUGGCGUUAGUUGAUAUGGCAGAUCAUAUGGGUGGGGCAUUGUAAUGUCACAUGGGGGGGGGCGACAAAUUUCUCUUUUGCCUAGGGUGGCAAAAAUCCUUGCACCAGCCCCGAGUACUACUACUUGGUUUCUUGUAUAUAACUCCGUCUUUAGCUACACUUCAUACUAAACUUGCAUGCUCUCUGCCACCAGUCCGCAGCUUUUCAAUCUUGAUAUCUGUCACGUAAAAUCCUACAACUACACACUGUCUUAUAUCUGAUAUUUGCUCUUUGGAAGAGACUACGCCACACUCCUGGCCCAUGCACAUGAACUUGGGAAACGCAUCCUGUGAUUACCUGCAUUGAUAAACUUAUGGAUAUAUUCAAAUCUCUCUCAGGUCAGAGAAAGCGAAUACAAACUCAUUAGUAUGUGUUACCACAUGCAGCUUGUUAACACUUGUCACAUUUCCCUACAAAGCUGUAAAGAGUGGCAGGAGGUUGAGACUUACCUUUACCCUGAUUCAGUGCUUUUGCAAAACUUAAAAAAAUCAUGUAAGCUA
Non-coding RNA from Pelobates cultripes (western spadefoot toad), 645 nucleotides. NCBI's taxonomy places the organism in Eukaryota, Metazoa, Chordata, Amphibia, Anura, Pelobatidae. The record is from the annotation of a GenBank genome assembly.